Xenia sp. Carnegie-2017 is the source of this 406-nucleotide long non-coding RNA. RefSeq lists it as uncharacterized. The transcript is spliced from 3 exons. Lineage: Eukaryota; Metazoa; Cnidaria; Anthozoa; Malacalcyonacea; Xeniidae. The record is from RefSeq and is a predicted model, not a curated record.
AUGAUGAUGACAUCAAUGGAAUGCGAUUAUUAUAUGCCCAGAAACUGCUUCACCUCCAAAAUGCAGUGACAUCGAUUCACUUUGUAGCUAUUUUGCAUCUGAAGGAUAUUGCACAGAAUACGAAGAUGUGAUGAAAAUUACAUGUCCAUACAGCUGUAACUUAUGUGAUAGUUAACUUCGUUGAUAAAGCUUAGAUAUAUAUUUACUUAAUAAUAAUAUAGUCACGUGACUCAAGAGUCACAUGACUCCAAAGUCACAUGACUCCAAAGUCACAUUGUUCCAAUAUUUGAUAUUGUAAUAGCACAUAGCUAUAGUCAGUGUUACCAGAUUUGUAAAUUAAAUUUCUUUUGUAAACUUUAGCAACUUUUUAUACAAUGAAAUUUCAUUUUAUUUUCACGAAAGCUUA